Molecule: ribosomal RNA, 334 nt
Filed under: Ctenophora environmental sample
Lineage: Eukaryota; Metazoa; Ctenophora
Description: partial Eukaryotic small subunit ribosomal RNA
Rfam family: Eukaryotic small subunit ribosomal RNA
Source: RNAcentral
UCUCAAAGACUAAGCCAUGCAUGUGUAAGUAUACAUGAUAUACAGUGAAACUGCAAAUGGCUCAUUAAAACAGUUAUAGUUUAUUUGAUAGAUGUAUUAUAUGGAUAACCGUAGUAAUUCUAGAGCUAAUACAUGCUUGAAAGCCUUACUCUUGUGGAAGGGCUGUAUUUAUUAGAUAAAGACCAACAAUAAGUGGUGAUUCAUAAUAACUGAUCGAAUCGCAUGGGCAAUGCCAGCGAUAAAUCAUUCAAGUUUCUGCCCUAUCAGCUUUCGAUGGUAGUGUAUUGGACUACCAUGGCGUUAACGGGUAACGGAGAAUUAGGGUUCGAUUCCG